Molecule: long non-coding RNA, 396 nt
Filed under: Mytilus galloprovincialis (Mediterranean mussel)
Lineage: Eukaryota; Metazoa; Mollusca; Bivalvia; Mytilida; Mytilidae
Source: RNAcentral
CGACAACGCACACUUUAUUGUAAUUUCAAAAACAUUUAUAUAUAAACAAUAAUAAGUGGUUUAUUUUUUUGUGGAGCCGCCAACAAAAAAGAUAACAAAAAUACCGAACCACAUAAGUGAAUUCAAAUUCGCCAGGACAAUAAAAACAAACAAAAACGGCAUUUUCAACCAUUAGAACGAGCGGAAAACAACUCUCUUACUAAACAUACAAUUAAAAGCUACAUCAGCUGUAAGUUUCUAGAGAUAUAAAUUUCACUGUUUUCUAGUUUAUACGUUAAGAGAAAUCACUACUGUACAACUGUUGAUUACAUAUUGGAAAAAUAUGUUGGUUUUGCUGUGUUGCCUCUUUUAAACUUCUUUGAUAAAUUGCAUACAUCUACAAGAAAUACAAGUAUU